This 253-nucleotide ribosomal RNA is filed under the name uncultured bacterium. RNAcentral describes it as "partial 16S ribosomal RNA". It matches the Rfam family "Bacterial small subunit ribosomal RNA", at positions 524 to 776 of the family's 1533-position model. The record is from RNAcentral.
UACGUAGGGGGCAAGCGUUGUCCGGAUUUAUUGGGCGUAAAGAGCGUGUAGGCGGUCUGGUAGGUCCGUUGUGAAAACUCGAGGCUCAACCUCGAGACGCCGAUGGAAACCAUCAGACUAGAGUCCGGAAGAGGAGAGUGGAAUUCCUGGUGUAGCGGUGAAAUGCGCAGAUAUCGGGAAGAACACCCGUGGCGAAGGCGGCUCUCUGGGACGGUACUGACGCUGAGACGCGAAAGCGUGGGGAGCGAUCCGG